AAUAUUUAGCCAGUCGCGAGCUAGUGACUGGCUAAAGAACUUAUCUAGUCAUUACUAUCUAGGCACUAGUCUUGAAAUCUACUCUGCUAGAUACAUUUUUGCUCGGGAAAAGGUUUUAAUUCUUUAUUUGGAGUGACAAUGUUGAUUGGCAAAUAUAUUGACAAAGUUGUAGAUCUCGUUGUCAAAUCCAGCUUCUGCCUAACCUACAAAAAAGCCAAAAAGCGCAUGAAUGAAAAAGAAUUUGAAGUAUGGACUGAAGAGUACGAGGAAGAGUGCACGGCCAACCAUUAUAAUUCUGCAGAAGGGAUGGAAGUCGAGGCAGUGAAGAAAAUGUUCGACAGAUCCAUAGAACGAUAUGGCGUGAGAUACACAACAUACAUCGGAGAUGGUGACUGCAAUACGCAUAAACUCUUAUGGAUAUGCAGCCUUACGGUAAAGACGUAAUUAUUACCAAAUGUGAGGACAUCGAUCAUGUACACAAAAGGAUGGACUCUCGUUUGCGCAAUUAAAAAAAAAGAGGAGAAUUGAAGAAAUGGACGCUGUCAAUCAAUAUAAUUAAUAAGCUUUCCAAUUAUUAUGGAUUAGCUAUAAGAAAAAACUCUGACAGUGUAGAGAGCAUGAAAAAUGCUAUUAAUGCUACAAUAAAACAUUUAUACUCUAUCCACGAGAAUCCUUAGUACGACUUGUGUCCACCUGGUGCCGAAAGUCGGUGCAGAUACCGGCGCGCAGAGGCUGCAGAAUUGUUGGAAUACGUUUUCUCAUGAUCUGCCGCUUUCAGCAGAAUUUAUCUCAUUUUUUAAAUCAAUAUAUGCUGAUUUAUCAAGAGAUCUUCUGCAACGGUGCUUAGGAGGUGAAUCUCAAAACGUCAAUGAAAACUUCAACGCAACAAUUUGGCGCUUGGCGCCGAAGCAUUUUCAUUGUGGUUUCAAAACGUUGCAAAUAACAGCUUUCUGGCCGCUUCUGUUUUUAAUGAAGAUUCUUCAACAAUUUUACAAAUUAUGUCCAUUCUAGGCAUAGUCAUCGGACCGGAAUAUCGUAAGUACGUCGAAUAUCGAGACAGACAAUGACAGAAACACGCGACUCGUAGCAGCAGAGACUUCUAGCAAGCUCGAACAACUUGUAGAAAUGAACGAGCAACAUAAAAUGAGUUUUAUGAAGUCGAAAAGAAUUUAUUAUAUGGACCUGGAAUUACCAAUUAGGCUGAAACUUAUUUCACCGUACCUCGAGAUUUCAUGAGAGCCAUGAAACAGCACACGCCUAAACACGUCACGUUAGUUUUUGUGUAUCUCCUACAUUAUUAUUCAUAUAAAACUAUAAAAAUUUAUACUUAUAAAUUAAAUAUAUAUUAUUAUUUUUAUCAAGUUUUAAAUCAAUCGUCUGCUUAGUUUCCGAGAAAAAAAUUCGUGAAAAUAACCUAUUUUUUGCUUAUAGAUAAGUUUCCCCCCUUAAUCAUACUGUGUCUCUCUGUCUUUUUGUUCCUUUAAAAGAGUUCCAUUACGAGUUGGACAACUUUAAGAAUCUGUUCGCCAUCGACAGCCAAACUGGCAUCAUUACUACAUUAGUGACGUUCGAUAGAGAGGUCGAGAACACUUACAACAACUUACAACGUCAAAGUAUUAGCGAUGGAUAAUUCGCCGAGUUAAUUCUCUAUCAACGCGGCUAUGAUUACGGACGUACUGUUUUAUUAGUGGACCCAUUAAUAGAUAAAGUUUAAAGUUAAUCGCGAAUGACUUCUUACACGAAUGUUAAUAUGAAUUCUCCUUACUUGCAGAAAUGACGUGUAUCUCGUACUGAUACUCAGAAUAAAUUUGUAUAUUAUGUAAACGUUCGAGACAUAUAAUCAAAACUUAA
Long non-coding RNA from Odontomachus brunneus, 1851 nucleotides. RefSeq lists it as uncharacterized. The transcript has 2 exons. Lineage: Eukaryota; Metazoa; Arthropoda; Insecta; Hymenoptera; Formicidae. The record is from RefSeq and is a predicted model, not a curated record.